GAUGAACGCUGGCGGCGUGCUUAACACAUGCAAGUCGAACGGAAAGGCCCAAGCUUGCUUGGGUACUCGAGUGGCGAACGGGUGAGUAACACGUGGGUGAUCUGCCCUGCACUUCGGGAUAAGCCUGGGAAACUGGGUCUAAUACCGGAUAGGACGAUGGUUUGGAUGCCAUUGUGGAAAGUUUUUUCGGUGUGGGAUGUGCUCGCGGCCUAUCAGGUUGUUGGUGGGGUAAUGGCGUACCUGGGCGGCGACGGUGAGCCGGCCGGAGAGGGUGUACGGCCACACUGGGCUUGAGAGGCGGGCAAGAGUCCGACGUGAGGCAGCAAGGGGGAAUAUUGGACACUGCGAGCAAGCGUGAUGCAGGGAGGCCUCGUGGUGGUUGACGGCCUUUGUGUUGUAAGAUCCUCUCGCUAUGGAUGAAGCGUUUUUGUGACGGUACCUGGAGAAUAAGCACCGGCUAACUACGUG
This 468-nucleotide ribosomal RNA is filed under the name uncultured bacterium. RNAcentral describes it as "partial 16S ribosomal RNA". It matches the Rfam family "Bacterial small subunit ribosomal RNA", at positions 28 to 507 of the family's 1533-position model. The record is from RNAcentral.